This 460-nucleotide ribosomal RNA is filed under the name uncultured bacterium. RNAcentral's name for it is "partial 16S ribosomal RNA". It matches the Rfam family "Bacterial small subunit ribosomal RNA", at positions 338 to 795 of the family's 1533-position model. The record is from RNAcentral.
CCUACGGUAGGCAGCAGUGAGGAAUAUUGGUCAAUGGGCGGGAGCCUGAACCAGCCAAGUCGCGUGAGGGAAGACGGUCCUAUGGAUUGUAAACCUCUUUAGGCGGGGAGCAAUGCCGGGCACGUGUGCCCGGAGGGAGAGUACCCGCAGAAUAAGCAUCGGCUAACUCCGUGCCAGCAGCCGCGGUAAUACGGAGGAUGCGAGCGUUAUCCGGAUUUAUUGUGUUUAAAGGGUGCGUAGGCGGUUUUUUAAGUUAGUGGUUAAACGUCGGGGCUUCACCUUGAUUUGCCAUUAAUACUGUAAGACUCGAGUUCAGACGAGGUAGGCGGAAUAAGUUAAGUAGCGGUGAAAUGCUUAGAUAUAACUUAGAACUCCGAUAGCGAAGGCAGCUUACCAGACUGCGACUGACGCUGAAGCACGAGAGCGUGGGUAGCGAACAGGAUUAGAUACCCGAGUAGUC